This is a long non-coding RNA of Brassica napus (rape), 660 nucleotides long. RefSeq lists it as uncharacterized. The record is from RefSeq and is a predicted model, not a curated record. NCBI's taxonomy places the organism in Eukaryota, Viridiplantae, Streptophyta, Magnoliopsida, Brassicales, Brassicaceae. The transcript is spliced from 2 exons.
AAAAAAACUUAAUUAUAAUUUUAAAUAAAAUUCCCAAAUCAGUUUAUCAACCUAAUCAAUCCCCUCCUCACACGCCGACAUUGUUGUCUCCGCCUCUCCGUCUCUCUAUUUUUCUCGAUGGCGACAAAGAGUGAAGCUCUUCCCUGACGACUGCUCUUCUUCUCUGGCGUAACUAGUGCUCUUCUUCUUCGGCGUAAGCUCUCCCUCUCACGGUGUGUGCUCCGGCGUAAGCUCUCCCUCUCACGACGGCGUAAAGCGGUAAAGAUGGUAGUUCUGUCUUUGAUGCAUCACAUUUGUAUGGCCAGCAAAUACUGGAUUCCAAUGACACAAGGUGGAUAUCUCAGCCUUUUUCUACUCCAGAUCUUAUUGAGCAAAGAAACCUGCACAGAGCAAUAUCAUAUCCUGAACCGCAGCAUCACCAGCGGCCACACCAGCAUCAGCAACAAUUUUCCAGCCAACCAAUUAUUCUACCAAAGUCAUCUGGUGGAGACCGCAAGAUCAGCAUGUAGGACAACCAAAUACGCAAUAUGGUGGGCUUCAUAUGGGAUCCCCAAAUCUCUCCCCUUUGCGUUGUGUCUUAUCUUUCAAUGUUUAGUGGUUUGUAUAAGCACUCUUUGUAUAAACAUUGUUUCUACUCUCUGCUAUGUUCCUUGCUUUGAA